AGAGUUUGAAUCAUGGCUCAGGAUGAACGCUGGCGGCGUGCCUAAUACAUGCAAGUCGAGCGAACUGACGAGGAGCUUGCUCCUUUGACGUUAGCGGCGGACGGGUGAGUAACACGUGGGUAACCUACCUAUAAGACUGGAAUAACUCCGGGAAACCGGGGCUAAUGCCGGAUAACAUAUCGAACCGCAUGGUUCGAUAGUGAAAGACGGUCUUGCUGUCACUUAUAGAUGGACCCGCGCCGUAUUAGCUAGUUGGUGAGGUAACGGCUCACCAAGGCAACGAUACGUAGCCGACCUGAGAGGGUGAUCGGCCACACUGGAACUGAGACACGGUCCAGACUCCUACGGGAGGCAGCAGUAGGGAAUCUUCCGCAAUGGGCGAAAGCCUGACGGAGCAACGCCGCGUGAGUGAUGAAGGUCUUCGGAUCGUAAAGCUCUGUUGUUAGGGAAGAACAAAUGUGUAAGUAACUGUGCACAUCUUGACGGUACCUAACCAGAAAGCCACGGCUAACUACGUGCCAGCAGCCGCGGUAAUACGUAGGUGGCAAGCGUUAUCCGGAAUUAUUGGGCGUAAAGCGCGCGUAGGCGGUUUUUUAAGUCUGAUGUGAAAGCCCACGGCUCAACCGUGGAGGGUCAUUGGAAACUGGAAAACUUGAGUGCAGAAGAGGAAAGUGGAAUUCCAUGUGUAGCGGUGAAAUGCGCAGAGAUAUGGAGGAACACCAGUGGCGAAGGCGGCUUUCUGGUCUGUAACUGACGCUGAUGUGCGAAAGCGUGGGGAUCAAACAGGAUUAGAUACCCUGGUAGUCCACGCCGUAAACGAUGAGUGCUAAGUGUUAGGGGGUUUCCGCCCCUUAGUGCUGCAGCUAACGCAUUAAGCACUCCGCCUGGGGAGGUACG
This 897-nucleotide ribosomal RNA is filed under the name Staphylococcus aureus. RNAcentral describes it as "bacterial SSU rRNA". It matches the Rfam family "Bacterial small subunit ribosomal RNA", at positions 8 to 884 of the family's 1533-position model. The record is from RNAcentral. Lineage: Bacteria; Bacillati; Bacillota; Bacilli; Caryophanales; Staphylococcaceae.